Bactrocera neohumeralis is the source of this 1140-nucleotide long non-coding RNA. RefSeq lists it as uncharacterized. The transcript is spliced from 3 exons. The record is from RefSeq and is a predicted model, not a curated record. NCBI's taxonomy places the organism in Eukaryota, Metazoa, Arthropoda, Insecta, Diptera, Tephritidae.
UUAGAAUUUUGCCACUUUGUUUUGUAACUCUUUUGCUUGAAUGUACUUACAGUGGGGAGCAAAACCGAGAACAUAUUUGCUUUCUUGAGGUAUUAGCAUUGAUUUUCAUGAUACAAUUUUUUCGAUAGGUUUUUUGAAAGUUUGAUGUUGACUCUUUAUUAUACUAGUAUUGAAUGGACUAUAAAACUGCAUACCCAAAAAUAUUAUAAAUGCUCUUAUUAAAGUCUUUGAAAUUUGUACGAAAAUUUUGUAAGUUGUCAUAAAUUUUGUAUACAGUUUUAAACUGUAAUUCAUAUGAUAUUUUUAAGAAGAUGAACUACAUUUUUAUAAAAAUCUAUCCAGAAAAUUGUAUCGUGAAAAAAAAUGCUAAUGUCUCAAAAAGGCAAACAUGCGUUCCUUUCUGCUCCCCAGUGUGCAUUUGAACAUUCACACAAACAUAUGUACUACAUAAUAACUAACUCGCUUUACUACUGAGCUCCGUUGUAAUUUUAAGAGUGCCAAAUUAAGUAGCAAGACACCAAGAAAUCACGUUUUAAUUCAUAAAGAAGGGUGUGAGUUUAACUAGCAAAAGGAAAACAUUAAUUGUGAACUAUUGUACUUGUCUAAAUGUCUGUUCAUGUUUUCGAAACCGAUUUUUCUGCAGACGACAGUAUUGAAGAUCUGGACUUUAAUACUACUGGAAGUAAACGAAAGAGUUCAUUAAGUGCGAAAUCAGGACCGGCCCUAAAAAAAGUCCGUGUGAAUUCACAAAAAAUUAUUUUCAAAGAAGAAUUUUACACAGAAGUGGAAAAAAUUUCCGACAAGACAACUUGUGCUAAGUGCGUUGCAUGUCAUCGAGUGAUUAGAGGAAGCGGUGAAGUGACUUCAAAUUUCAUCAAACAUUUGCAAGUCAAGCAUAGUGAAUGUUUUAAAACAUACAAAAGUUAUAAAACAGGUAGCCCUUUUGGCGGUAACAUGCAAUCUGAGUUCGAUGGUAAACUGUUACAUGCAAUGAUUGAUUGUUCAUUGCCCCUUUCCAUUCUGGAAAAAAAAUCCUUUAUAGAUCUUUUUCAAAGUACAGGUAUGAAGGUGAUGUGUCAGAAUGUUUUCAAUGCAAAUUUUUCAAAACGAAAUGUAAAUAUAAAAUGAUGAGCUUUCAAA